Vicia villosa (hairy vetch) is the source of this 551-nucleotide long non-coding RNA. RefSeq lists it as uncharacterized. Lineage: Eukaryota; Viridiplantae; Streptophyta; Magnoliopsida; Fabales; Fabaceae. The transcript is spliced from 5 exons. The record is from RefSeq and is a predicted model, not a curated record.
UUUCCACAUCAGCUUCUUCAAAAUUACGUUCUUCCUCCAUUACAGUUACAUCGUCACAUUGUAGUUACACUUGGUUGAUAAAUGAUAUGCCCUUUCACGUUCCAACUUCUUCAUCUUUACAGUUACCCACAAUCAUGGGUUUUUCUUUUUAUUGAGAAAUAGUGCGUCGAACUUUAAUCAAACAGCAGCAUUUUGAGUUAGAUUGAAAUUGAGCAUCAUCGGAAGAGAUGGGAAGAGGACACGAACACGGCGGGACAACCUAGAAAGGUGUCACCAUUCAUCAACCUAAGCGUUGGCACACCGUUACCGGUUUUGGGUGAUGUACAGGGCAAAGCAAGAUGCUCAUGUAGUACUGGGCUGGAGACAUCCCUGGGAUGGUCACAAUGUUCACGGAAGCGGCCAUUAAUUUUCGUAGGUCAUGAAGCACUAUGCGUAUUCAAAUUUGUCACGAAGUUCUCAAAGAUUUGUCUUUGCUUUUUUUGAGUUGAUAUCAUCAUUAGCGCAGACUUACCAACAUGCGAGUACUGUGAUUCAAUCUCUGUCGGAGGAGG